Long non-coding RNA from Strigops habroptila (Kakapo), 218 nucleotides. RefSeq lists it as uncharacterized. The record is from RefSeq and is a predicted model, not a curated record. Lineage: Eukaryota; Metazoa; Chordata; Aves; Psittaciformes; Psittacidae. The transcript has 3 exons.
AAACAUCUGUUCAAGCCAGACUACUUUUUCACUGUGAGAGCUCAGCGUCUAACACAGUUGCAGCUGAGUGGUCCAUGGCCUAUAGUUGGUAGUGGACUGCAAUCAAAUUUCAGUGAGCCAAACAAGAGUCAAGUGACACAAUCAUCUGACCACAACCGAGCUUUUAUGAGAAUAAGAAAAAGCAAGCUUUGACCCAGCAACGGAAGUUAAAAUCAUUC